GUGCCAGCAGCUGCGGUAAUACGGAGGGUGCAAGCGUUAAUCGGAAUUACUGGGCGUAAAGCGCACGCAGGCGGUCUGUUAAGUCAGAUGUGAAAUCCCCGGGCUCAACCCGGGAACUGCAUUCGAAACUGGCAGGCUGGAGUCUCGUAGAGGGGGUAGAAUUCCAGGUGUAGCGGUGAAAUGCGUAGAGAUCUGGAGGAAUACCGGUGGCGAAGGCCGGCCCCCGUGGACGAAGACUGACGCUCAGGUGACGAAAGCGUGGGAGAC
This 267-nucleotide ribosomal RNA is filed under the name uncultured Enterobacter sp. Its description in RNAcentral is "partial 16S ribosomal RNA". It matches the Rfam family "Bacterial small subunit ribosomal RNA", at positions 505 to 769 of the family's 1533-position model. Lineage: Bacteria; Pseudomonadati; Pseudomonadota; Gammaproteobacteria; Enterobacterales; Enterobacteriaceae. The record is from RNAcentral.